This 490-nucleotide ribosomal RNA is filed under the name uncultured bacterium. Its description in RNAcentral is "bacterial SSU rRNA". It matches the Rfam family "Bacterial small subunit ribosomal RNA", at positions 501 to 989 of the family's 1533-position model. The record is from RNAcentral.
CUACGUGCCAGCAGCCGCGGUAAUACGUAGGGCGCGAGCGUUGUCCGGAAUUAUUGGGCGUAAAGGGCUUGUAGGCGGUUGGUCGCGUCUGCCGUGAAAUUCUCUGGCUUAACUGGGGGCGUGCGGUGGGUACGGGCUGACUUGAGUGCGGUAGGGGAGACUGGAACUCCUGGUGUAGCGGUGGAAUGCGCAGAUAUCAGGAAGAACACCGGUGGCGAAGGCGGGUCUCUGGGCCGUUACUGACGCUGAGGAGCGAAAGCGUGGGGAGCGAACAGGAUUAGAUACCCUGGUAGUCCACGCUGUAAACGUCGGGCACUAGGUGUGGGGGCCACCCGUGGUUUCUGCGCCGUAGCUAACGCUUUAAGUGCCCCGCCUGGGGAGUACGGCCGCAAGGCUAAAACUCAAAGGAAUUGACGGGGGCCCGCACAAGCGGCGGAGCAUGCGGAUUAAUUCGAUGCAACGCGAAGAACCUUACCAAGGCUUGACAUGC